Molecule: ribosomal RNA, 444 nt
Filed under: uncultured bacterium
Lineage: Bacteria
Description: bacterial SSU rRNA
Rfam family: Bacterial small subunit ribosomal RNA
Source: RNAcentral
UGGGGAAUAUUGGACAAUGGGCGCAAGCCUGAUCCAGCCAUGCCGCGUGAACGAUGAAGGCCUUAGGGUUGUAAAGUUCUUUUGUCAGGGAAGAUAAUGACGGUACCUGAAGAAUAAGCACCGGCUAACUUCGUGCCAGCAGCCGCGGUAAUACGAAGGGUGCUAGCGUUGUUCGGAAUCACUGGGCGUAAAGCGCGCGUAGGCGGCGAUAUAAGUCAGAGGUGAAAGCCUGGAGCUCAACUCCAGAACUGCCUUUGAAACUAUAUUGCUAGAGUGUCGGAGGGGAUAGCGGAAUUGCUAAUGUAGAGGUGAAAUUCGUAGAUAUUAGAAGGAACACCGGUGGCGAAGGCGGCUAUCUGGACGACAACUGACGCUGAGGCGCGAAAGCGUGGGGAUCAAACAGGAUUAGAUACCCUCGUAGUCCCUGAGCGGGCUGGCAAGGCG